This 1180-nucleotide long non-coding RNA is filed under the name Marmota monax (woodchuck). Lineage: Eukaryota; Metazoa; Chordata; Mammalia; Rodentia; Sciuridae. The record is from RNAcentral.
AGGGAAAGGAAGGAAAAGAAAAAAGAAGAGGAAAAAGGGGAAGAGGAGAGGAAGGGUAGGAGGUGAAAGGAGAAGGAAAAACAGCGGAGAGGAGAAGAGAAAAGCCUAGACAGAGCCUAUAGGGUGGGCCUGUAGCUGCAGCUUGACACCUGCGUGGCCUCCCAGUCACCUUCACCAAGGCCUUUGGCUGCCCUAUUGGCUGCCCCAAGAGAGGCCAGAUUCUGAAAAGCCUCCAGGCUCCUCACACCCCAGAUCCUUGCCUUCAGUGAGUCCCCUAUCUCAGGUCCCGCCAUGGCAGUCCUAGCCUCUCCCUGCCUCACCCAGCUUCCUGCCCUCCCAGGGUGCACCUGCACCUAAUCCUUAAUUUGAUUAAUAUUCACCAAGUCCAGGCUACCUCUGGGGACGGCACCUAGACUCCCCUGGGCUAGUUUUUCUUUAGUGCUAAGUCCUAACACAGCACACACUGAGGCCAAAGUCUCUGCCCUGUGGUACCCAGUUCCCCUGAAGCCCAUGGUGCAGCAAUCUCUGGGCUUCAGGGGUGAAAUCUGCCUCCUUGGGGCAAUGAGGAAGCACAGUGUGAGAUAAAAUGGCUCCAGAAGGUUAUCAGCCUUGAUUGGGGCCAGGAAGGAUAUCAUUCAACGGAAUGCUUCCAAGUUACCUUCCCCACCAAUGACCUUCAGGAAUCCCUUCUUCCUGAACAGGGAGCUCCAGUUCAGUGGCCUGGCCUGAAGGCUCACUGUGCUUUGGGGGGUUAAGGCCCCCUGGGGGAACCCUAUGGUCCUCCUACUGGGCAACAAGGCCACUUCAUCUCCUGCUCAGGCUGGUGAUUGCCUUCCUGGUUCCCGACUACUCCUGAGCCCUACUUCUUUUCUACCCCAACCCCAAGCAGACAAGAAGGGCAGGGCUAGUGUGGUACACAGGGAAGAGCACAGGACCCGAUUCAGGAGGUUCUGUUCUGGCUGAGGCUGAUGCAGUGACCUUGGUCUUGACCUUGACUAAUGCUGCAUUCCUUGCAACUAUAAAAGAAGAGUUUUGCCUCUAUGAUCCCCAUGCUGCUUGUUUCUAAUGCUUACUGGUGUGUUUCCCACAGGUUUUUAAGGAACCAUGUGCUCUGCUGGGGCCUAGCAGAAGAGUAGGAGGGAGAUGCUGGAAGGAGCCCAUCUGCUGCUCUGGGAAAGGC